UCUAUUAUUCCUACAGCAUUAUUAAAUACUGAUUGUGGGGACCUGCCCACCAAUACACAGUUUUGCUAUUACAUAUAUACUGUUAACCUUACCUGCACUGGGGACAGACGGGAAAUGAGAGAGUGUUCCUCGUGUUUGGUGAUGAGGGACUAGACAGAGCAAUGGUGUACUUGUAACACGUGGUGUUUGAUGGUGGUCACUAUACAAAUUAUUUCUGUAUAUUGCUCGUUUCAUAUUUGUUUGUUUCAUAGUAUUUGCUCGUUUCAUAUGAUAACUACCUGGGAAUAAUGAGUGUUAAUGAGUGUUUCAUUCGUGUAUGAAUCCCUCGAGCGGUAAACCGAGGGAAGGUAGCUCAGGGAGGGAGGUCAAGCCGGCAGUCUAUCUGUGGUAUAGCAGCCGCACACACCUUGUUGGAUUGAAACCUGUGGAUUUAUUCCAUGUGAGCGCCAGAGACUGUUGGACCGUUCACCCUCACGUUCACCCUGUCGUUCACCCUCACGUUCACCAUAUGGGACAAGUAAACACACACAAGAAUGAACGAGUGUCAAUAACGAGGCGUAAUAAUAUACCAAGAAGAAAUACCCUUGUCUGACGCCCCUGAGUGGGUGUUACAGUACUCAUAACCUUACCUGCAGCUUAGACAGGCGGGAACAAAACCAAGUAUUCCUAUAUUACAUUGUGUUUUGUCAUAAGCAACAAGACAGAACAGUGGCGGAGGGACAGUAAACUUGUAUUCAGUUAAAUGUGCAGUCAUGGUGAAUAGUUGAGUAACAUACCGCUCCGUGCUUAC
This is a long non-coding RNA of Scylla paramamosain (green mud crab), 790 nucleotides long. RefSeq lists it as uncharacterized. The record is from RefSeq and is a predicted model, not a curated record. NCBI's taxonomy places the organism in Eukaryota, Metazoa, Arthropoda, Malacostraca, Decapoda, Portunidae. The transcript is spliced from 2 exons.